AAACUCAAAGGAAUUGACGGGGGCCCGCACAAGCGUGGAGCAUGUGGUUUAAUUCGAUGAUACGCGAGGAACCUUACCAGGGCUUGACAUACACUGGAAUGGGCGUGAAAGCGUCCAGCCCCUCGGGGCCGGUGUACAGGUGCUGCAUGGCUGUCGUCAGCUCGUGCUGUGAAGUGUUGGGUUAAGUCCCGCAACGAGCGCAACCCCUAUCAUUAGUUGCCAUCAGGUCAAGCUGGGGACUCUAAUGAAACUGCCUACGCAAGUAGUGAGGAAGGUGGGGAUGACGUCAAAUCAGCACGGCCCUUACGUCCAGGGCUACACACGUGCUACAAUGGCCGAUACAGAGGGCAGCUACCUGGUGACAGGAUGCAAAUCUCCAAAGUCGGUCUCAGUUCGGAUCGGAGUCUGCAACCCGACUCCGUGAAGUUGGAUUCGCUAGUAAUCGCGCAUCAGCCAUGGCGCGGUGAAUACGUUCCCGGGCCUU
This 484-nucleotide ribosomal RNA is filed under the name uncultured Sphingobacteriales bacterium. RNAcentral describes it as "bacterial SSU rRNA". It matches the Rfam family "Bacterial small subunit ribosomal RNA", at positions 897 to 1382 of the family's 1533-position model. The record is from RNAcentral. Lineage: Bacteria; Pseudomonadati; Bacteroidota; Sphingobacteriia; Sphingobacteriales.